ACGAACGCUGGCGGCGUGCUAAUACAUGCAAGUCGAGCGGACAGAUGGGAGCUUGCUCCCUGAUGUUAGCGGCGGACGGGUGAGUAACACGUGGGUAACCUGCCUGUAAGACUGGGAUAACUCCGGGAAACCGGGGCUAAUACCGGAUGGUUGUUUGAACCGCAUGGUUCAGACAUAAAAGGUGGCUUCGGCUACCACUUACAGAUGGACCCGCGGCGCAUUAGCUAGUUGGUGAGGUAACGGCUCACCAAGGCGACGAUGCGUAGCCGACCUGAGAGGGUGAUCGGCCACACUGGGACUGAGACACGGCCCAGACUCCUACGGGAGGCAGCAGUAGGGAAUCUUCCGCAAUGGACGAAAGUCUGACGGAGCAACGCCGCGUGAGUGAUGAAGGUUUUCGGAUCGUAAAGCUCUGUUGUUAGGGAAGAACAAGUGCCGUUCAAAUAGGGCGGCACCUUGACGGUACCUAACCAGAAAAGCCACGGCUAACUACGUGCCAGCAGCCGCGGUAAUACGUAGGUGGCAAGCGUUGUCCGGAAUUAUUGGGCGUAAAGGGCUCGCAGGCGGUUUCUUAAGUCUGAUGUGAAAGCCCCCGGCUCAACCGGGGAGGGUCAUUGGAAACUGGGGAACUUGAGUGCAGAAGAGGAGAGUGGAAUUCCACGUGUAGCGGUGAAAUGCGUAGAGAUGUGGAGGAACACCAGUGGCGAAGGCGACUCUCUGGUCUGUAACUGACGCUGAGGAGCGAAAGCGUGGGGAGCGAACAGGAUUAGAUACCCUGGUAGUCCACGCCGUAAACGAUGAGUGCUAAGUGUUAG
This 815-nucleotide ribosomal RNA is filed under the name Bacillus amyloliquefaciens. RNAcentral describes it as "bacterial SSU rRNA". It matches the Rfam family "Bacterial small subunit ribosomal RNA", at positions 29 to 826 of the family's 1533-position model. The record is from RNAcentral. Lineage: Bacteria; Bacillati; Bacillota; Bacilli; Caryophanales; Bacillaceae.